Molecule: non-coding RNA, 44 nt
Filed under: Trypanosoma brucei brucei
Lineage: Eukaryota; Euglenozoa; Kinetoplastea; Trypanosomatida; Trypanosomatidae
Source: RNAcentral
AUAUAUAUUACAAUGGUUAGUUUGCGUGGGUACAUCGAUAUCAU